AGUUUACGGUUAAUUGGCCCCCAAAUACAGGACCUGUCGGAAGGAAAAUAUUUUUACUUUUUUUUUAUUAUUUUUUCUGUGGCGUUUGUAUUAUCCAUUUAUAGCUGUGAUUACUGGAUAGGUUGCUGAAAAUAAUACCGAAAUUGGAGAGAAAAAAAAGUUAAGGGUCCGCGAUUUAAAAGAAUAGGGUCGGACCGGUAAUCGUAAAUAGUUUUUUUUUUAAAAUUUUGGCCUUAGUCAUAUGUUGACGCGUGUACUCUAGUAGUUAGGAUCAAUUUACACUCUGUUCAACUCAUUUAUGUUACAAGAUGAAGACAAACAAUCUCAUCAUAUGGUCUAUGGUUGUAUAUAUACUGCAUGUGUAUGCGUUAGAAGAUGUGCCAUUGAACAACCCCUGUGAAGCUGUAGAAUGUCCCGAAAGUACCCAUUGCCGUCUGCAACAGGCCGAAUGCAAUAAAACCGAAAAACGCUGUCCCAUUGUCACGGUUUGUGUUGAUAAAGCUUUAAACGCCACCAACCCAGUAUGCAAAACCAAUCUACCCAUCAUUGAUGCCACGAAUAAGGAAUUAUUCUGUGGCCGUGGAAAAGGACGUGUAAGAUGUCCAGCUAAAACCAAGUGCAUUUUUCACAUGCGUAACAAAUUUGCUGUCUGUUGUUACAAGAAAUCAAGAUACAAUCGUACAUAGAACUCUGUAUAAUGACAAAAUCUACUUGUACAUACAAUAAUAACAAUUUCAGCUCAUUUUUGUCAAUAAAACGUUAUAGAAAUUGGCGGA
Molecule: long non-coding RNA, 776 nt
Organism: Patella vulgata (common limpet)
Lineage: Eukaryota; Metazoa; Mollusca; Gastropoda; Patellidae
Exons: 4
Source: RefSeq, a predicted model, not a curated record